GAUGAACGCUGGCGGCGUGCCUAAUACAUGCAAGUCGAGCGAACAGACGAGGAGCUUGCUCCUCUGACGUUAGCGGCGGACGGGUGAGUAACACGUGGAUAACCUACCUAUAAGACUGGGAUAACUUCGGGAAGCCGGAGCUAAUACCGGAUAAUAUAUUGAACCGCAUGGUUCAAUAGUGAAAUACGGUUUUGCUGUCACUUAUAGAUGGAUCCGCGCCGCAUUAGCUAGUUGGUAAGGUAACGGCUUACCAAGGCGACGAUGCGUAGCCGACCUGAGAGGGUGAUCGGCCACACUGGAACUGAGACACGGUCCAGACUCCUACGGGAGGCAGCAGUAGGGAAUCUUCCGCAAAGGGCGAAAGCCUGACGGAGCAACGCCGCGUGAGUGAUGAAGGUCUUCGGAUCGUAAAACUCUGUUAUUAGGGAAGAACAAAUGUGUAAGUAACUAUGCACGUCUUGACGGUACCUAAUCAGAAAGCCACGGCUAACUACGUG
RNAcentral lists this ribosomal RNA (497 nucleotides) under uncultured bacterium. RNAcentral describes it as "partial 16S ribosomal RNA". It matches the Rfam family "Bacterial small subunit ribosomal RNA", at positions 28 to 507 of the family's 1533-position model. The record is from RNAcentral.